AACGAACGCUGGCGGCAUGCCUAACACAUGCCAGUCGAACGAAGUCUUCGGACUUAGUGGCGCACGGGUGCGUAACGCGGGGGAAUCUGCCCUUGGGUACGGAAUAACUCAGAGAAAUUUGUGCUAAUACCGUAUAAUGUCUUCGGACCAAAGAUUUAUCGCCCAAGGAUGAGCCCGCGUAAGAUUAGCUAGUUGGUGGGGUAAAAGCCUACCAAGGCGACGAUCUUUAGCUGGUCUGAGAGGACGAUCAGCCACACUGGGACUGAGACACGGCCCAGACUCCUACGGGAGGCAGCAGUGGGGAAUAUUGGACAAUGGGCGAAAGCCUGAUCCAGCAAUGCCGCGUGAGUGAUGAAGGCCCUAGGGUUGUAAAGCUCUUUUACCAGGGAUGAUAAUGACAGUACCUGGAGAAUAAGCUCCGGCUAACUCCGUG
RNAcentral lists this ribosomal RNA (433 nucleotides) under uncultured bacterium. Its description in RNAcentral is "partial 16S ribosomal RNA". It matches the Rfam family "Bacterial small subunit ribosomal RNA", at positions 29 to 507 of the family's 1533-position model. The record is from RNAcentral.